This is a long non-coding RNA of Mus musculus (house mouse), 5742 nucleotides long. RefSeq annotates it as predicted gene, 26728. The transcript has 3 exons. The record is from RefSeq and is a predicted model, not a curated record. Lineage: Eukaryota; Metazoa; Chordata; Mammalia; Rodentia; Muridae.
GAUUCAGGACAAACCAGAGGUUACCUGGAAACCAAGGGAAACAAAUCAAUAUGGGGCCGUUCCUGAAGUUCACGGGCCCCAGAACAACAACAAAACCAAAUCAUGUAUAACGUUCCCCACCAUCCCCCACCCCCCCACCCCCGAAACGAAGUCCUACUAAUUUCAUGGGCUUCCCUAACAAGGUAACAAUAUACCCACAAUACUUAAAACUUAGCUGGGCAUGUUGGGGGCCCAUGCCUUUUUAAAUCCCAGCAUUUGGGAGGCCGAGGCAGAGGCAGAAGCAGGAGGGUCUAUCUCUGAGGCCAGACUGGACUACAUAGAGAAACCCUGUCUCAAAAAACAAACCAAACAAAUAAUAAUAAUAGAAAAAACUCCACAAAACCCAAAACAAUAACAACAACAAAAAACCCCAACAGACAAGCACCCCUCCCCACAUGAAUCUAUAACUAAGUAUUUUCUUGGGUGGAUGGGGUAGAAAAUUACCCGGAUGGAUAUAAUUUUUAUAAAAUUGUCUCAUCUGGGGACAGGAUAUUGCUUUCCACAGCUGCAUGCCACCACUUGGUGGAAAAUAAAAAUGUCCCUGGACCAGCCUGACUCUUUUACAGAAUGGAGCAGCCGGGUGUCAUGCAGUCAGACUUCGAAAACACAACAUACAAAAAGUUACUAAGGCUAACUUAAAAACCAAAACUUCUUUAGUUGAAAUAUACUUCACCUGACAGUUCGGUGUCAGGGAGAUUUACAGCCUCUGAAAUGAGGAGGUUUCCCCCCCUCCCCCUCUUCUGUAUUUAAGAAGUAAAACCCAUUUCUGCAAGACUUUGACUGGAAAGCAAAACCCAACCCUUUGAGGGCUGGGGCAGGGGGUGGGAUGGGGGUACAGCUCAAGGGCAGAAUGCUUGCCUUCCAUGCACAAGGAUUUGGCUUCAAUCCCCAGCUCCAAAAACCAAAAGAAUAAAAAAGUUGACAGGUCCUAUUAAAGUCCCUCUCACCCAACCAGAACAGGGAGGAACUCAGAAAUCACAGUGUGAUCUCUUUUCUCAAUGCCACAAGGGUUUACCCAGAACACACAAGACGGCACCAGCACUGCAAAGCCACCAGAACCCUGAGAUCGGAGCCUCCACUCCUGUCUGUCCCAAGCCAGAAAUAAGAAAACACCCAGGCAAAUCCAUCUACCUCUGUGCGUGCUACCAAAGAAAACAUGUUUCUUGUAAACCCAAGGUAUUUUUAGGUCCCAAACUGUGUGACCCAUUUCAGAGGCCACAGCUCCUUAUAAAAACUGAACUGAACCCAAAACUAGGCGGAACCACCCCAGAACACACAGGCCUAUGUGUUAAGAUGAAAGGUUCAUGCCCAAAACACCACCCAAAGAAGGGCAGGCAGGAGCCAGGAAAGGCUCACUUAGGAAAGAGAGCACUGACCGGCCACCCCAGAUCCACUCCUCUACGGCUGCUUAUCAAAGCCUGUCCAAAUUUGGGAAGUAACCAGUAACCAGCAACCAGCAGCGGGCAGCAAAGGCGUCUUGGGAGCAAUAGCAAGGUCUGGAAUGUUGCCACCGGCAAUCUGAAAACAGGGGCAGUGUCUGUGAAGAGUGUGUGUGUGUGGUGUGUAAGAGAGUGUGAGUGUGCUCACAUGAACCCAGUUCUCACCACCACCCAGAGAUUGGGAUUCCAGAUCUUGGUUACUGGUAACUAUGGCUGGGGGUGGGGGAGAAACCAAAGCUCUAGGCAGGGGCCAGUUCCUAUUUUCCAUAGCUGGGCAGACACUUGGCCUCGGCUCACCCUCUCCCCAACCUGCCAGCCAGCUCCAGUACAAGCAGGGCAGUGUCGCUCCAGCACAGGCGGCUCUGUGGGAAGCCAUUUUAUGCCACAGUUCAACCCAACAUCCAAGUCAAACAACUUCUGCAAGGAGCAAUCUGGGUGGGGAGGGGCUCCUGUUCCAGCCACCUACCCCUCCACAACCUGCCCCGACUCGAACCCGGAUGCCUUGGAACACUCUAGAGUCUCUUCAGCUUCAUUUCUCAGGAGUAGGUGUACCUUCCUCCCUGAGUCAGAUGUGUACAAAAUGGAGGCAGUGGUUCUGCUUUGAAGAGUGAGGCCAGCUCUCCUACGUCGGCUCGUAUGGCAGGGAGAUGUGGAAAAGCCGUAAGGCUACACGGCACACACAGCCACAUAGUCCGGCCACACUGAGUAGGAGGAGUGUGGCCUAAUCUGUGGUUUAAGCAUCCAUACUUACCUGGGAAUUGCUCCCACCCUCUCCAAAGACCUCAAAUCACUUUCUACUAGUGAAGCAAUAGAGCUACAGGGAGAUGCAGCUAACCUGCCCAGGGGCUGAAGAUGCUGAAUCCAGGGCUGUACACUGACCAUUACAAUCUAUGACCAUAAAAGGCCAAGGCGGGGCUGGAGAGAUGGCUCAGUGGUUAAGAGCACCACCAACUGCUCUUCCAAAGGUCCUGAGUUCAAAUCCCAGCAACCACAUGGUGGCUCACAACCAUCCUUAAGGAGAUCUGACGCCCUCUUCUGGAGUGUCUGAAGACAGCUACAGUGUACUUACAUAUAAUAAAUAAAUAUUAAAAAAAAAAAAGGCCAAGGCAAUGGAGCACUUACCAAAGAACCAGAAGAAAAGGAGACCCCCCCCCCCCCCCCCGCCAAGAGUGAGGGAAGGUAAAAGGAACAGGGAAGAUCCAAGAAACAGGUUUAUACUCGCAGGUAAAAGCCAGGGAACAAGUCUCACUAUCCACCGUGAUUUCCAGACUCCUACACCUCUGUUACGUGGCUUGCCGGGAAGUCUUAUUAACCAGAGGAGAGGUGGGGCAAUGGUGUGUGGUGGCCGGGGCUCGUUCUAUAGGCUGAUCUUGAAUGGACCUUUGAGACCUUUUGCGUCAAGUCAUGGGUUUUGUGAUGAGGAAACUUCGGUGCGGAUCAGGAAAGUGAGCUGCCUGUGGUUCCCAAGUAAUCCGCCCUCCGCCAGGCUCUGAAGCCUGGGUCAGCUCUCUGCCUACAUUUCCAAGCUGCUUCCGUGAAGGUGAUGUCAUCUCUGGAGGUGGAGGAGAUCCCUCUGUUACUUCCAUCCUUCCGGAUGGGGAAGGAGCAGAAACAGAGGGUCAGAGUGCAUGGAAGCAGGAUCUGGCUGGCUCUCUCAAUCUGGGCUUUCCUUUGCCGAGGCUAAAAACCAUAAAAGACUUCGCUAUGUGGGAUCUGGGGGAAUGGGUGUGCGGGAUGGGGAAAGGCCAGACAGAGGCAACAGGAUCAAGGCCAGUUGGCUGUAUAACAAAGCCUUCAACAAACAAACAAACAAACAACGAAUGGGAGAGGCACAUUCCAGGCCCGGCUCAAGGCUGGCCACCACAUUAUAGCCUGAAACACUUCUAAUCACCUGCCAUUCAGACAUUAGGAAGAUGUUUUCUUUCUCAAUUCUUUUCUUUCUCUUUUGGAGGGAGUGGAGGGAUAGACAUGGAGAUCUGAGAGAAAUUUGGGAACCACCAAAAUAGGCUUGUGAGGUCUGGCUCUGAGGUUGUCGGAAAACAGACCGAUUGCUGGCUUGGUUGUGGGCAGGAGACACCCAACUUCAGAAAGGCAGGCUGGGCAGGCUCAGCUGUCACAGAGCAUGUCCCACAGGGGACAUGCUCGGGCCUAGGAGAAAGACAGAUUCCCCUUUGCCGGUCCUCCCUCUCUUCCACUGUCCCAGGGCGACUACGAGAGGCUGGCUUCUCUUUGGAUUCCUGCCAUCCAGCCGCUCAGUAUCCUCUACAGACAAAGGUGGCCUCUGCUUUCCAAAGCCCACACCAGGCACCAAAUGUCAAGUUCAUAAAUCACUGGUCUCAAGAGAUUGAAGAGGUGACAUCAUAAUGAUCCCAAGGGUUCCCCCGAGAGAGAUCACCGCCUGUAGUAAAAGAUAUUUUGAGGAGUUUCCUCUCAGCCUUCCUUUGCUCCUGCCCAAUACUAACUACCUCACUUGAUAAUACCCUAUCACUUGACCCUGCCUUUAGCACUUAACCUAUCAUGGGCAAGAUUUCUGGUCAAAAUGGGAAUAAUGUUUCUUUCUCUGGUUAUAUCAUGGAGCUUGGGGAGGCCUUUGGAGACUGUAAAAUACUUAGCACAGAGAUUGUAACAGGACUGUCCCUAUUAGAGCCCAGGGUAGGGCAGGUAACAAUAAUUAACAUAGUAAACCGCCCACCUCCCUAAUGGUAAGAGACAGGAGAGUAAAGAGAGCAAACAAGGGGCCCAGAGGUUACAGUACUAACUCGGCUUGCGAUCUUGGGCACCCUGGUUCCUCACGGUGGACACGAGAGCUAGCACCUCCAGCUGGUGCAUAAUCUCCAAUGCAGUUCCCAACCCCAAAGUCAAACCCUUCUAGAGUGAGACUGUCCUGCUUCAGGAGGCAGAGUCAGCCAGCAGCAACUUGUCAGGGUUCUGGAUAGGAGCGGAAGUGGCAGCAGGAGACAAGAUGGGCAGACUGUAGGCCAGCAGGCAACAGAAUGAGAAGACAUAGGGUGGCCAUGGGCACCUCCUCUCAGCCCCUUACAUACAUAUGCCAUGGGGGGCAGAUGGGAGAUGUAGGCAACUAUGUGGUUUCCCCUUAGCACCAAACUUUCACACCAUCUAUGCAGGCGUCUGGGGACUGACCGACAGACUAGCAGGGAAGAGACUAAAAGGUAGAGGGAGGAAAACUCCCCAAAGGACAGGGCGGGGUUGGGUGGGGCCAGCUGCCUUCAGACUUUGUUUUGUAACAAAGCGCUCAAGCUGAUGAGUGGACCAAGCCAAGCCUGGGAGCUGGCUGCCUGUCUGCAGAACUGGGGAAACACAAGCAGGGAAUGUCCUCUGACAUCCUCUUAAGUUGUAUGGGUGUGGUGGCUCCUAGAAACCCAGGGCAGUCUCUGCAGGUUGUGCAACACUUCCAAGCAACCCUGGAGAGUAUUAAACCUUACAGUUGCUGGAAGAUGGGUGAAGAGGCCCUUCUCAAUAUCCUUUACAGUUUUCUCUUCCUCACCCCUGCAGGAAGUUUCCUUAGCAUUCUUCAUUGCAAAAGCAAACCGUACUUAUUACAGAAACAUCAGAAAAUAUCAGAAAGCAAAAAGAAUAGGCCUUGGGUUUCAUUCCCAGCACACCUGUAACUCCAGUUCCAGAGGAUCUGACACCAUCUCCUGGCCUCUGUGGGCACCAGACAUGCAGGUGGUGCCCAGGCAUUCAAGCUAACAAAACAGCCAUACCAACAUAAUACAAAUUCAGAUUAAAAAAAAAUCUAAAAGACCAUUUGCCUGGAUUAAUUUCCAUCCCUUGCUGGCUUUCUGUAAAUAUCUCUGGCAUAAGUUCAUGGAGACAAACCUCACUCAAGGGUUGGUCCUCAGGGGUCUGCUUUGCUCUUGGCUUUCGAGUUCCCACCAUUUCCUUUGUCUAGUUACCUCUUUGUCAAUUGAAGUCAUCAUGUUUGUUCAGCAGUCAUCCAAACAUGUCCUUUCUUAACCCCCAGAACUCGUGGGUGUGCCACUCCUCUGUGCUUGGAGUGAGGGGCUGUAGAUAGAGUUAAAGGAGCUUGAAAUGGAGAUAUUUUUGGUGGGACUUUGUAAUCAAAGAGAUUUGUGUUGUUUGCUUUCAUUUUUUUUCCUCUUUUGACAGAUCUCAUUAAGGAGCCCAGAGUCUUUGAUUCUAGAUCCUCUUGCCUUAUCCUUUUGAGAAUUGGAUUUCCUUCCUUCCUUCCUUCCUUCCGCAUCAGCUCCUACUUCCUAACCUGCUUGAGUUCCAGUCCUGA